This 489-nucleotide ribosomal RNA is filed under the name uncultured bacterium. RNAcentral's name for it is "partial 16S ribosomal RNA". It matches the Rfam family "Bacterial small subunit ribosomal RNA", at positions 899 to 1397 of the family's 1533-position model. The record is from RNAcentral.
ACUCAAAUGAAUAGACGGGGGCCCGCACAAGCGGCGGAGCGUGUGGUUUAAUUCGAUGCAAAGCGAAGAACCUCACCAGGGUUUGACAUGUAGCCAGUAGAAGCCGGAAACGGUGACGACUCGUCAAGUCGAGAAGCUGCACAGGUGCUGCAUGGUUGUCGUCAGCUCGUGUCGUGAGAUGUUGGGUUAAGUCCCGCAACGAGCGCAACCCCCGUCCCGUGUUGAUUUCUCACGGGAGACAGCCCCCCACAAGGGGGAGGAAGGUGGGGAUGACGUCAAAUCCGCAUGGCCUUUAUACCCUGGGCUACACACACGCUACAAUGGGUAGGACAAAGGGUUGCCAACCCGCAAGGGGGAGCUAAUCCCAUCAAACCUACCCCCAGUUGGGAUUGGAGGCUGAAACCCGCCUCCAUGAACGCGGAGUCGCUAGUAACCGCAGGUCAGCACACUGCGGUGAAUACGUUCCCGGGCCUUGUACACACCGCCCGU